Molecule: ribosomal RNA, 541 nt
Filed under: uncultured bacterium
Lineage: Bacteria
Description: bacterial SSU rRNA
Rfam family: Bacterial small subunit ribosomal RNA
Source: RNAcentral
ACUCAAUAGAUACCCGGGUAGUCCACGCCCUAAACGAUGUCUACUAGUUGUUGGUGGAGUAAAAUCCAUGAGUAAACGCAGCUAAACGCGUGAAGUAGACCGCCUGGGGAGUACGGUCGCAAGAUUAAAAACUCAAAGGAAUUGACGGGGGCCCGCACAAGCGGUGGAUUAUGUGGAUUAAAUUCGAUGCAACGCGAAAAACCUUACCUGGCCUUGACAUGCCACUAACGAAGCAGAGAUGCAUUAGGUGCCCGUAAGGGAAAGUGGACACAGGUGCUGCAUGGCUGUCGUCAGCUCGUGUCGUGAGAUGUUGGGUUAAGUCCCGCAACGAGCGCAACCCUUGCCAUUAAUUGCCAUCAUUUAGUUGGGCACUUUAAUGGGACUGCCGGUGACAAACCGGAGGAAGGUGGGGAUGACGUCAAGUCCUCAUGGCCCUUAUGGCCAGGGCUUCACACGUAAUACAAUGGUCGGUACAGAGAGUUGCCAACCCGCGAGGGGAGCUAAUCCCAGAAAGCCGAUCGUAGUCCGGAUUGUUCUCUGC